Molecule: long non-coding RNA, 20724 nt
Organism: Columba livia (rock pigeon)
Lineage: Eukaryota; Metazoa; Chordata; Aves; Columbiformes; Columbidae
Exons: 3
Source: RefSeq, a predicted model, not a curated record
CGGCGUGCCGUGGGUCCCCGACCUGGGCGGGCUCUGCUCAGGAUGUAGCAGACCGAUAGCUGCUUGUGUUGUGCCGCUGCCUGCUCACAGCAGGAGGGUAACAGGCUGCCGUGACGUCCCUGUCUUGUUCCCUGAUCCAGAGUGCAGAUCCGUAGAGAGCACACGUAUAUCCCACCGCGAGUCACCCGGGGAGCUCGCCACUGCCUUUGCUCAGGGCAACUGCAAGCGCGGGGCCAGGAUGGCACCGGCUCCUGCUGCACCAGCUGCCCUUGGUCGCGAGCGAGGUGCCCUGUUUCCAUGGCCUGUCUUCCAGCACCUCCCUGGCAAAACAGGCAGGAAGGUUAUCAGGCACGGACUGAUACGCUCCCAGGCGCAUUGAACCUGCAGGAAGCCACCGACAGGUUUGCCAGCAGUAACAACAAAGGGCUUUCAUCCGCUGCCAACUCUAUGCCAGCGAUAAACUCCCCAUGUCUAGGUGAAAGGUCCUUUUUGCCCAUUACCAGUCCCUUGGGGUCAGCAGAGCAUUUUGUCCCAACCUUCUUCCUGGACAAGUUCAGAAGUGCUGAGGGAGGUCUCCACUUGUGUAUGAAUUCCAGAGGAGCACAGGCUGGUUAACAUAUUGGUUCCCCAUUCUCAGCCGGCACACCUGUAUCGAGAUAAGGAAAGAGCACUCAUAAAAUACUGACUGCAGAAAAGAAAGAGAACAUCUUUGCUUCAGGGGAAAGGGCCUCAGUUCAGCUCCAGUUAGCCAAGUAUUUUUCUUGAAGGAGUACAGCAGGCACAGAGUCUGAGCCAGAAAACAGCAUUUCUUUGCCUUUUUCUGCCUUCAUAGAAGAUGCCUGCAGCAGGAAACUGUCUCAUCUAUGAAACAAUACUUACCCCGUGAGUUCUGCAUUCACACUGUAGAUUUAUUUUCACCUGGUUUUGCCCCAUUUCACACCAAAUUGAAAUCACCAUCCAGUCUUACGGCUCUAAAUCACCAUACAUUGUUUCUAGAUACUUUUGGUUUCCUUAUUGCAUGAAUACAGGAAAACAAGUAAUGGUGUGUACAUUAUCAGAUCGCUAGUCUAGCAUCCUGCCUCCAACAGGAGAGAGUAAAAUGCCAGAUGAAAGCAGGAAUCCUCCAUACAGAUAUGCAAUAAUACAUCUAAUGUUAGGUAAAAAUUACUUCUGAUCCCUAACCAACAACCAAGGUACAUCCCAAAGCCCAACAUCUGAGAGUUUCUUACCCUGGUAAAUAUCACUUAAGAAGAUUCAUUUUUUUUCACAUAAAGCCAAAUUCCCCAGGCCUUUAUUCAUUCCUUAUUCUGGCACCAGAGAUGCUGGCUUUCCUCUUAAUGGUCUGUAAGAUAUGACCCAUAAACCACAGUCAGCUUACACUACUAGGUAUGAUUGCUUUCCCAUAUUUGAGCUCUCCAGGUUCAAGCUUUGGGACAGGCAUAUGCCAGGGGCCAGUUCUUCGUUUCAGAACCAACAAAACUGAAAAAGCUCCCUGAAACAAAGAGCAGAACCUGCCACCCCACCCCAACACCUCACAGCCUCUACUUGAGCUCACACCACCCCACUAAGGCACAAAACAGCAGCAGUGACCACAGGCUGGUGGUUGGUUCAUGCAAGGCUGCCUGACCAGCUGCUAGGAUAGUGCUACUAACGAUGAGCAGCAAAAGCAAGUGCUGAUGAGGCUUUGCCUUGGCACUUGUGAUGUGAGAGAAGCUAAUGCUAUAAUUCCUUGUAUUAACUCUGCUUCUGCAAUCUUCUGCAAGCCUACAUGUGUUUCAGCAGAUACCUGCAGAGCAGCUAUUUCUUGCUUGCUUUGUAUUUCAGAUAACCAGAACAGUCACGAACACCAAUUUUGGGUACACUGAGGUCUCUUGUGGGUCCAGUUAUACAUACCUGCUCCCAGUGUUUCCUCAGACUGUGUGGCCAUGAGCAUAUCUGUGUUUCAGCAGGCCCAGGAGAAACUCACACUCUCACAUUGCUCCCCAGCUAACCUUGUGCGUUGUACUGGUAAAAUACGUGGCUUCUCUCACUCCACUGCCACAAUGCUAGGAACAACUCAUCAACAGAUCACAAGCUAUCCAUUGAUCCACACCUUCUAGCACCUCCUCAGAAUGAGGCACAGGGACACACUGCUGCAACCAGCAACAAGCAAUUUAACAGAACACCAGAGGAAGAGAAGCCCUUGCAGAAAGCAGAGCUGCAACCUACUGCUCCAGCUCUUGUCUUAUGUGAUUCCUGCCCCAAGGAUGAGGUUUGACAUGCCAGGUGUGUUCCCAGUAGACAAUGCCAGCCACAAGUCACACUGCUGCAACAUAUACUGGAAAGAAAGCUUCCUGAGAGGUCUGGAGGUGUUGCUCACCACACACAUAGCAGUUGCAGAACACUAUCAAGUAACUUCUAUCCAAGGAUAGGAAAAUAUUUUCCAGGGGUAAGUAAUAGUAUUACUCCCAAAGGAGAAAACUAAGACAGAGGGAAGUUAUUUGAUUUUCUGAAGGUCACUGAGGAAAGCUGUGGGAGAUCCAAGAAUAGAAAUCAUAUCUUCUGGCCCCUAGCUUUAUGUUUCCAGGCUGUAAUCUAGCCUAUAACUAGAUCACACUGCUGGAGCUAUGCAAAAUUCAGUGGUUUCACUUCCCAAGCAUCUCAUGUGAUUGCUUUGCUUUGGUUUUGGUUCCUGUGGGUUUCUCACCCCUGGAGUUUUGAUCUGCCCACUGAGUUCAAACCAAAUCCAAAUCUCGAACCUAGUCAAAGAGGCCAAGUUUCCUCUGGUCACAUGAUAAAAACAUGAAAAAUGCAUUACAUAACAUUUAUGGUAAGCCCACACGCCUGCUCCGAUGCUGCUUGAAGAUCUCUUCAAAUUCCUCUUGGUCAGACGAGGAGGAGAAGGAAGGCAAGUGGCAAGCUCCCCCUGCAAGAACAAAUGGGGUUGUGGAGACAGAGGAGGGCAGAAGGCUGUGAGCUGACGCAGGAUCACGGUUUACUUCUGCAAUACCCAUGUGUUCCCACCUGUUUCUGCCAUGGGGAACACAUCCCUGGAGAACUGUCUUAUCUCUCAGUGUGCCACAUCUUAUUUUCCCUCAGAGACAUUGUUCUGUGGGAACUGUAGCCAAACAGUACAAUAGGAGAGACAGGCAGGAGGGGUGAAAACAAUGCAGAGAGGAUCAGUUUAAUUCACAGAUUCCCUCCGAGCUGUGUUUCCUGUUGUGCCUGGAGGACAAUCUAAUACCUUCUGCAGCUUACCCGCCCAGGGUGUACCACUGACACUGCGAGAUGCAAGAACAGGAAUGUGUGUGGGUGCAGAAGGCCCUAUUAGGCAGGCCUGGCCAAGACUUCUCACAAGGUAGGAAGGGCUGUUUUCACUCUUUGAGGUUACCGGGGAUUUGCUCGGCCCACCUCACACACCGAACGGCUCUUCUGCUUCCCUUUCCCCAACGCUGCCCUGUGCCAUAGCAGAGUCAUACUGCAUCUGUGCAGACGCCACUCUGAACAUCCCGAUGUUGAAGACAAAAAACCUGCCAGGGAAGAGGUUUAAGUGCCAUCUAUUGGGGAUCUCCCCUCAUUACACCAAGGGAGACAGAAGGAUGAGCUGGAAAAACCUCAUCCAUCCCCUCUCACAUAUGACCCUAAAUGGGUGAUGGCUAGAGACAGACACUGGAGCUACAGCCAGUGCCAGGCACAGAAAGAGCAUCUAUCUGCCAAGGGCAAUGCUAAAAGCCAGGCAGUAGCAGGGUGAAAGCUGAGCCUAGAGCUUGCUUGGAGGGAGAUGUGAGCCCAAAGCCGGACACAUCUUGAAUGGUUCCAUAGAGCAGGGCCAUCCACCAACUGUCUCAGACACAGUCCAAUGUAUGUAGGUAAAAGCAGGGGAGAAGAACAGUCCACAAAAAUAAUGAGAAUAGUUCCCAGAACAGUAUGACUGACAAAACAGGCAAAGGGCACCAAGCUCUAUCACCGAGCCAGCCACCAAUCACUUAUGGCAGGUACCACAGAGCAUUUCUCCUCCCAGUGUGUGAAUUGCUGAGCCUGUAGGCUCCCCCAGACAGGAUCAUCUCUGACUUUGCCUCUCUGCAAUGUCUGCCCUAACACAAGCCAACCUAAGUCAAGUUCCCCUCAUACAAACCAUAAACACCCUGUGAUCCAGCUGCAGGGAUGAGGCUGCAGUGCAUACAGGUGCUCUCCAAGCUCUGGCCGUGUGAUCUUUAUACCAGGAGUGUGGGGCAGGCAGUUGGAAAACAUCUCACAUGCAAUCACAAAGGAGCCCUUUACUAAGGCUAUAGGCACCCAAAGGUGAGAACUGGCCACCAUUAACUUAAUGGCUACAAACUGUCGCAGAACUGAGCCAGCUGCUGCCAUGCAAACACUUUGGACAUUAAAGAAGUGUCAGGAAGAGCUGGUCAGAGAUCACUGAGACUGACAGCUUUUUGAGAUAUAUCUGUUUUAGGCACAUCUGAGUAAUGAACUACCUAGGAUACAUGUUUUUGCAGGUGUAGUUUUGACUGCCAUGAAAAGAGGAAAAGAAGCAGAAAAGAAAUUGAAAAGUGUUCAGGAAUUACUGAUCCCUGCUAUGUUACAGAGAAACAAUGACCAUGCCUGCAUAGGCCACGUGACAGCAGUAAGGAAAAGAGAUGAUCCUCUUAACAUCAGUGCUUGGCAGCACCAUCUCUGUUAUAACUCCCUUGCUGCCCAUUCUCUUCCCACAAAUUGCUAGGGCCAAUUGGAAAGCCAGCAUGUGGCUAAUACACUGAGAACCAGGGAGAGCAGGAUUACCACAGCUGUUUACACCGUGCUUCUUUAGCUUGUACUGCAGACAUUUGUUCCCCUGCAGACAAGCCUGGAAGGGCCCCCAUGACAUCCACUUGGACAGCACCCACAGGGCCAACAGUUUAGCUUGGCCAGCCAGAAGCUUCAGGGUAGCAGGGCAGCCUGGCUCCUCAGAAACACAAGAAAAGAGAAGUGAUGAUUCUGCUUUAAAUAGAUUCUUCCCUCUAACCUCUGGAGAAGAGGAAUCACCUCAUCAGGCUAAAGGAUUUCCUUUCCUUCAAAUACAGUUGCUGCAACUCAUGUCUCUUCCUUUUCAAAUGCCUUCAUAAUAGCAGUCCUCAGCUGGGACCACACAGUGGUUCUGAGCCCUGCCAUGUAGCUAGCAAGGAGCAGUCAGUCCAAACAUGAAACGUCCAGUCUAUACAUCCUACCCCACAGAGAGGGCUAACCAGCUCAUCAGCUGCCUCAGACUUCAGGUCUUUAGGUCAAAGACAAGAAAUCUCAAACUGCUAUGCUUAAAAGGGCAGCAUCAGAGAAAAAGGCCCUAGGUUCCUGCAAAGGCAGGAAACUUCUUAAGCAAAAGUGCUGGAAGUGAGCACACUUAGUCUCUGCAUAGCAAAGGAGAAAAUAUUAUUGUGGUUGCUAGUUUGAUGGGGGGAAAUUCCUCUCUAGAACUUCCUGGCUGCCCAGACAGCCUCUGGGCUUAUCCCAAGUACAUAAAUAAAACACAGCUUUCAACAUCAAAGAGGUUUCCCAGUUCUUCUUUCUGGGCACCCCAUCUAGAUGGGUAUUUGUGAGCAGUUUCAGUGCUUCUAAGGAAAGUGAAAAAGAGCCAGGGUAGUGUUAUCAGGAAAAGAAAUUCCAGGAAGAAUUCAAAGGAGGUGCAAGUUGGAACUUGCCUUGCAGCUUGUCUCUGCUGUGGGCAUGAUGCAUGGUUGAGGAGGGCAACAACCAGGCUGCAUCCAUGCUGGACCCUGUUUGGGCCAGCCUGGGGGACUCCUGGCCACAGUGCCUCAGCACAAGCCUGGUCAGGCCUCUCAAAUUGCCAUCAGAUGAUUAGAAAACACCAGCCAGGCACUGGUGAUGUUUCACAGAACUGCUAGCACUCCCGUCAGCCUACCUGCAUUCCAUUUCCAGCUGCUGCCAAGCUCCAGUUUAUCAGUGGGAAGGGAAGACAGUCAGUGCAUAAACCUGUGCUACUGAGCUGCUCUUAGCAUGGCAGGGAAAGCUGAGGAGAGGAGUACAAGUACCGCCUGAGGCCUCUGUAGGGGCGACAGCACAACAGAAUCCUCAGAGAAAGGCUCAGAGGCAAAAUAUAAAGCCCUUAAAAUAACUGUAGAACUGAAAAGUGCUCUAAUGACUGAGUAUUUGUGGCCACAAAAAAGCCCAAAGUCAACCAAAGGGGUCCAAGCAUCCACUAAAACUGCACUUUGAGGAAUCGAAGAAGACAACCUGUCUUCACAAUCCUCUGCCUCAAAAGCUCAGAUUGCUAGACUAGCCACAGAAAGAGCUACGUUAGAAUAUUUUUGUAAUGAGAAUAAAUCACAAGCAUGUCACUUACUCCUUGCUUUCUGAACUUUGUUAAUGCACGUUGCAUCUGUACACACAUACCAUAUCCCCUCCUCUGCCCCUGGCUCUUCUAGAGGCCAAGGCCAAAUGCUAAAACCUUUAUCAGUUCCUCACAAUUAAGGACAGUUAUUUGCAAGCUAUUCACCAGAAAUCGCAGUUGGAACAGCUCUCUAUGCAGCAUGGCUGUGUAAACAAGGAUGAAAAUGGCCUUGGGAGGGAGGAAAUGAGUCUGGCAUCAGAAACUGUGAGCUCUGCAUGCAGGCACGCUAGCACUAAAAAUGGUCAAAAAAUGGGGCAAGAGAAAAUGGGCUAAGAUAAAGGGUAGAUAAAGUGUGGGGAUGACAUAUUUUCAUGGAAACCUUACUGUACAUCACUCCCUUAUGUCUCUUUGUUUCUAGGGUAAAACUUUUCAGCUAAGAGGUGCUGUCAGGACAGAAGCAGGAUCUGGCAAAUCGGUAGACACGACAGCCAGGCCGGCUCCUGUCCUACAAACCUGCCCUAUAGGGGGCUGACUAAGAGAAACGUUAUGAAAAGCCCUGAAUCCUAUCCAACACUUUCUGUCGCCUGUAUUAUAUACCACUCGUCCCCAGAGGGCACAAGAGACCACCACUUUGCCUCUGCACAGCUCACCCUCACCAAUCUAGCACUGCUAGGAGAAAGGAAAGAGGUCUGGAGGGAUGUUUGGUUUUUCUCAGCUCUGCCUCUGUUUUCUUCCACAUGGGCUGAGGGCAGAACAAGGAUUGCCACAUAACAGCAACAAGCUGCUUUCUGUUGAUGAGCACAUACGCAAGCAGGAAGCUGCACUUUAUUAUCCAAAGGUCUGGAUGUCCCACACAGGGCCAGCCAGGUUGCUGAUCCCAGGCUCUGCACACUCCCUUGUCAGUGCUUAAGCCCAAGAACAGUGUAAAAGGCCAGAGUGAAAGGACAGGGCCUGCCUCCAAAUCCCACCCUAGGAUGACCUCUCCUUGUCUGAGUGUAUAAGUGGUGGGCACCAGAACCUGACACAAGUUACACCCACCACCAGUCCCCUAGUCCUCAAAGGAGAACACAAAUAUGGCCCACAUGACCUGACUGCAUUCAGAGGAGGCAAUGUAGAAACAAAUUCUUUUGGUCUUAAUUUCCACACCACAGCCAGCAUUCCUAGAGGUAUUAAUGAGUAACUUUCGGGAGCUUGUUUUUGAAAAACCGCUCCUCUUUCUCAGCCAAAUCUACUCGGCUGUAUUCUGGCUCCCCUGUAGAUGGGUGAUGAGCUCAGAUACAUAGCAUCAAAUCCUCCAUAUUAACCUGCUCACACAUCACAAACAAGUGCAAAUAGCAGGUGUGUGAGAUUCCAUCUCUGGGAGACCUGCAUAGCUGUGUAGCAAAUUUCAAUAAAAAUGGGACAGACAGGUUCAGUCUAAAGGAUCAGAUGUUAAUGUCAUCUCUUCCUAGCCCUCUUCUGCUGUGUAAACCCAAAGGAUGACUUCUGAAGAUCCAGCCGAAUUUGCUGUAUAUAUGGUAGAAACUCAUUAUAGCAGCAGAUAAAAUAGCUUUCAAUAUAUUUCUGCCCAGUUUUUUGCUGCUAUCAUCACCACACUGUAUCAUCAUCACAGUAUCGGAGUCGGAGCUGUCCCAACACCUGUUUGCACAGUGAGUGGGCUGUGGUUGGGAUGGUUGCAUACUCAAGUCACAUAUUGCGUAGCAGAGUGGCAGUCCCACCAGAUCAACCAGACUCACACAGAUAAGAACAGACACUCGUUAUGUCAGUGUUCAUCUCAUCCCUGGCCUACGUAUUAUGAUGCUAAUGUGGUGGCUGCAUUGACAGAAAUGAAACUCAAGUUAUAGUAAUAGUGAGGCAGAAAGAGUUAGAAGAAAGAGCUGUGAUUAAAGCAGACAGAUGGGUCAGAAGAAGUAUGCAACUUGAAGCACUGUAAUUACAUCCUGACCAAAAUUCUUUCAUAUCAAUUUAGAUUUGCUGCUGUCAGUCAGAAAACUUUCCAUGCCGUUCUUCAGAGGACACAAAAAAAGCUAAAAGCUCGAGUAUAUUCACAUAAUGGAAACUCAAUAGCACCAUUCCCAAGAGAUAUUAUACCACAAGGAUCUGUAUAAAUAAAUACAGCUGCAGGUGUGUUCCCUUGCAAAUUCUAGUCAGUCCCUCCAUAAUAUUUCAUAGAGCAAAAUCAGUGUAAUCUUAAAAUCUCCAGGUUUUACCUGAAGGCAAAGGAAGCUAUUUUCUACAAAGCCUGAUGAAAACUAGCCAGGCCUUGAAAAAAAUACUAUUUUGUAUGGUUUUAUUUUUUCUCUUAUGUUUUAUGUGACUUUCUUCCUAAAAAUACAAAAAAAUGUUAAUUAAACAGAGUUCGCUGCUGUUAUAUGCCACAUUCAGGAAGGCAGUGAUAAUAAAACUGUGUAAUUACAACCCACUUUACCUUCUGCUGGGUGUCUGCUAUUUAGGGAAAACACUAAAGGGUCAUUAACACCAGAAGGCAAGGCUUUUUAGUUAAGGUGAUAGAAGAUUUAAAGGGUCAAGGCCCAUGUCCACAAAAAAACACAAGGUCCCAUUGAAUGGAUCUUGGGAGAAAUCAAGUAUCUAAGUCCAGGCAUGCAACCCUUAAAAGCCUGCCUAAUCCCUUGGGCUCCUAGGCUAUGUCUAUACCAGUAAAUUAAACAUGCCCAGGACUGUUCGCUGGCACUGAGGGCCCUGGCACAUGAUAGCUUGCACCUAUAACAUUAAACUCUUUUAUCCUUCAAGCAAGGCAUUUGGAUCCAAGUGGUUGUUGGGAACGGCCCCUGGCCCACACUAACUCUCUCAGUCAUGCCUGGGAAUUGUUUGGAAGAGUGUUAACUGGCACAGGCCAAAACGAUGGCAAGAAUAAAUCAACAGGAAUCAACUAUUAAUUUUAUAAACAAUGGAGUUGUAGUGCCCCAGAACAUUUGCUGAUACAGAUGUAAACCUAAAAUACUGCCAUGUGCACAUAUAUUGUCUAUAUAUACUUACUAUCUAUAUAUAUACAUUUAUGUAGAAUAUUAUGAACUUAAACCAUAUACUUACAAGUAUCAAGAUUGGUUUGCAGAGGAAGGAUUUCUUGGCAAAAGCAUGACAGAUGUAUGUUUAUGUUGCUGGUUGACUAGCCAUCAGCAGUCCUUACUUUCAAGCAUCUACAUUCUUCCCUUCCAGCUAACCUGGAAUUUCUAUCUUCUCUGACACUGCAAUUUUCUUCUGAAUAACUGGAAACAUUUGGGCAUAAUUUUCACAUUAAUUUUCACAACUGGAGUGUGUAUUCAUCUGUGCUUAGAGGUGUUUGCCUGGAGAUUGCCUUUGAGAUCAGCUGUGAAUCACUAACACUCUCAUGUCUGUCCUGUACAUGAUCUGGCAGACCCAAGGAACAGUGUAAAGCCCAGGACUCUCCUGUGACUGACAACCUCGUGUCCACCUUGAAGAAAGGGAGCCUGAACCACCUGCUCCUCAUGGAACUGCUGCAGGGGUGCAGUCACACAUAUGCACGGCCAGGGAAGGCACUCUAACCGAAAGCAUCUGCAAACCGCUCCCCAGCGGGGCUCAGCCCGGCCGUGUCCUGCCAGGGCUGCCAGGAGGCCCGAGGGAGCCAAGGGGCCAAGAAAGGAGCGCAGCCCACACUGACAGCAGCUCUGUGCCAACGGCCGGUGAGGGAAGACCCGCUCGUCCCUUAACCCGGGCAGGAAGACACUUUCCCGCCUAAAAGAACCAAAUAAAUAUAUAUAUAUAUAUAUUUAUAUUAAUCAUUUUAAAAAACCACCUCCCGGGGCCUGUAUCCCGCUGUCCCUCGUCCCCGCGCUCCGAGAGCCGCCCUCCCGCCCUCGCAGCGGCCCGUUCCCUCAGCGGGGCUCCUCGGCCGGGCUCCUGAGGCGACGCCGCCCGCACCCGGCAGGGGGCAGCAGCGGCGCGUACACCAACGGCCGGCCGGGCCCGCGCAACGGCCCUAACGGCCGGCGGGGCGCGGCCUCCCGUCCCGGCCUCUGCCCGCCCCGGGGCCCGCCGGCCGCCGCCGGGCACCCCGCACCCCUUCGGGGAGCAGCCGCCUCGCCUGGCGGCGGGCCGACGCGGCGUCGGGCUGGCGCGGCUCGGCCGGGCGAGAGGGGUGAGGCCGUGCCCUGAGGCGGCCCGGGGCAGAGGCGGCUGCCCAGCGGCACCCGGGUGUCCGCAGGGCGCUCUGGAGCCCUGCAGCCCCGACACCCUGCCUGGUAUCGCCACCUCCUAACAGGGCCACCUGGAGGAACCCCGAGCUCGACCACAGCAGCACUGGUGCCCGUUGGAGAGCAUGCAGCCACCAAAAACGUCUCGGUCCCCUUCUCCCUCGGGGAAGGGGUAUCUCCAGAUUUCCCGUCACUACACUGCCCGGCGGCAUUGAGCCUCAGGGGACCAUGGCCUCAGCUGCCUCCCUGCUUUACCCCGAGGCCUCAGCCAAACACACCGAUCCAGGAUUUGGGUUCAUGGUUGCCUUCACACACACUUUUCUGAGCUUCCCUCACUUCGGUGCAAUCCCUUCUUGUAACUGUUGGGACAUCCAGGCCGGUUGCAAGACCACGUGUGCAAGUCCCUGCCAAGAUUUUCCCAUUGUCACGGCUUGCUGAGUUCCUUCCCUUCCUCCACCCACCAAAUCCUGCUGGGUUACUGGAAACACUGCAGCCCUAAUGUACCAGUGCCUUCAGGCCACCUAUGGCAGAAAGGGAUUUUUCCAGGAAAAGUACUUAAUCACAGUCAUUCCCGACUUCUGCUUCGCCACUUGCGACUGCUUCUGCUCCCAUACUGAAAAGGGGUGAUGACCUAUUUUGAAAGCAUAAGCUACUAGAGAGGGGAGAAAUAAUAAAAUAAAAUAAAAUAAAAUAAAAUAAAAUAAAAUAAAAUAAAAUAAUUUUUAAAAGCUAGGUGAAUCUGUGUUCUCCAAGCUACAGGACACAGCCAAGCUGGCCAACCUGGUCCAUAUGAAACCCACUCUAGUCACUAACUUGGUCACUUUGUGGUGACCCGCCAGCAGGUGUGCAGAUUGCCUAAAGAGUAUCUUCUCUUCCUCCCAAACCUUAGAAAACUGGGAGGGGAGUGUGGGGAAAGGGGGCAGGACACAAAAAAAACAACUACCUUGGGAAACGAUGUUACGUAAGACCCCGAACAAGGCCAUAAGAAUAAAAAAUUCUGUAUUACAGAGUGAGGUUUCAUUUUCCAUAUGCUUAUUCACAUUUCUUAAUCACCCUGAGCCUCAUAAUUUUCAACAUAGCAGCAGCCUGCCCACCUGUGCAGGGGCUGGAGCAUUCUGAUGAAGGUCACUAUGUAGGCAGGCACUUUAAUUAUGUGUGUUUAAAGUAACACUUGGAUAUUUUUAUGAUCAUGACCUGAAGGAAAAUCAGACUGCUGAUUAACUAAAGGUGAAAAACACUCUGCUAACGAAGGUAAUGAAGGCAGUAAGGCAGAGGCUGGUGGAGGAAGCAAUCUCUUCAAUCUCUCCUUCCUGCUCCUGUCUCCAUAGACUUCUCAAACCAUGGAACAGAAGUCCUUACCUGUGCACAACCCUUAUCUGUUGCCAAGUGUUGGGAAAGCUGUGACUUCAGGAACUGCUAUGAAAAGCUCACCGAACUGCUAAAAUCUGACAGCAUCUCCAUCACAUCCAAGCCAUGGCAGUCACCUUCUUUUCUGCACCUCCCUCCACAGCUACAAUAAAGAGUGGGCAGCCCAGCAGUUAGUGCUUGCAACUCGGAGUAAUUGAAAUGCUACAGGGCCCAAUUCCAACUCUGCUAUUGUGCAAGUCUGGGAAAGGCACCAGUUCUCCCUGUGUUUUCCCCUCUGCCCCCCAAGCAAAACAAAACACCCAUCAGGCAGCAAGCUGACUUGUCUGAAUGAAUUAAUAGCUGUAAAACAACCUGAGUUGCACACAGGUCCGUCAAAGCCAUUAUCAGGAGUCUGACAUUGGCUGUCAACCCAUCCUUCAGAAACAAAGGCCAAAAAGAGGCUACAUCAGGCAACAGCACAAUGGCCUAGCCUCAGAGAGAGAUUUGACAUCAUGCAGAUACCUAACAGUAACAUUUAUUCAUCAGGACUGACAUAGACUAGGCUUGAAUCAGGCAAUCUGGAGUUUUGUAGCCACCGUCUUAACUUCUAAGGCUUGGAGCCUUAGAAGAUUUAAGCAUCUAAAUAACAUCAGCUGCCUGAAACCUAAAUACCUUUGAAGCGCAUGGCCUCAGGAUUAGCCUGCUAACCAGAAGAGCCUAACUUCAUGCCACUGGGAACACCAGCCCUGAUGUCUCACCUGAUACUUGCAAAGAUGCAACGGAGGAUUGAGAACCCACCUAGUUAAUUAAAACAGCUUCUUAAUAUCUUGCUUCUUAAUAGGGAGAUAUAAUCAAUGUUAAUCUUUUGGGUGUGCUACUAAAUAUCCAAAGGGGAUGUUUGUUUUGCAAUUUCCCUCUUCCUUAAUGGCAGCUUUCCCCUACCCUGCACAAUCAGUCACCCUGCAAUUCACAGCUAUAAAUAUUUUGGCUUGAUUGAUAGCUUUAGCAUUUCAGUGUCUUUCACUUCAAGCACUACCUCUUCCAUUAUCCACUUCUCCUUCAUGGCAGAGUUUCUGAGCUGAUCUCCUGUCAAGCUACACAGGCUGAGCUCUGCGUAGACUUUUCCUCAAGCUUUGGAUGCCAAGAUGAUCCACACCAGGUACCUGAAGGAGCAGUGUCAAAGGAGAGCAAGCUCCUGCCUUGGGCAGCUCAGAGAAGAUGCAAGCCAUUUGCCUGAACCACCAGAGACACCAGAGAUGUCCAUUUCUGACUGAAGAAGGUGGAUUAGAUUGGGAGGCAGGGUAGACUGAAAAAGGGAAUAGAGAAGAAGGGGAUGGGAUGGGUAGUCAUGAGAAGGGCAGGGGGAAGCAUAAGGCAGAGGAAAGCUGAAGGAACAGAGGCAGCAGGGGAGAAACAGGGUUUGAAAUAAAGGAGUGGGGUGAAUCUACUUAUUUAUUUAGAUUCCUACCCACCAAAUCCUAGCUAUGGAGGCAGUUUUGGAGUUGUUAUACAGCAGGCUUGGCAAGGGUCAAAAACAAUCCAAUGGCUUUUUACAAUGGGGUUUGAGAAAUCUCUGACAUGGUGUCUGGAGAGGACAGGUCUAACAUGUGACUGAAGAGGAUGAAACUUUGUAACCUGGAGACUCUUCCUAGGCAUACAGUUUGGGAGCCUUGGGGACAGUUGGUGAGCAAACAGCAGAAGAAGGUGGUAUUAAUAUUUCUGGAGGAAGAAGAGCAGAAAGUGUGUGCAGAUAAUAUGAGCGGAUUGAAGGAAAAGCAAUGCUGGUACCACUGUUCUUAGCCUCUUGGGCAACCAUGUGCGAGAGCCCCAGAUGAAGCUGGCUUUGCUGCAGGCUUUACAGCUAAUGCCAUUUUAAUUUGUGACAUGUCACUAAUGGAGAAAGAUUUAACAUGUAUUUAUUCAAUGUCACUAAAAAUACUCCAGCAGUUGUGGGGGAAGAAGGAUAGGGCUGAUCGACUGGGGAGGGGGGGAGGACCUGCACUUUUGUAAGGGCUGAAAUGUGAUGCAUACACACGGGAUUUGGAAAGGCUCUCUCCCAGUAACUGCUGAGUAUCCUCUGCCAUGAAAACCUGCUGUCAAGUGUCAUGUCAAAUCAGGAAGACUGUGAGCAGAGGCUGAGAGAAACCCUUCUCCUAAGUACAGUCUGAUGAAUGGAAAGUAAUUGGACUGCUAUGGCAUUGCCUGAACCUGGCAGGUUCUCACUAGAAACAAAUACUGUUUGCCUGGUAAUUGAAGGGAACGUUUAAUCUGAUUUCACUCCAGGUGACUAUGUUCAGUACAGUGAGUCCCUUUUCUGCUGUUAACACUCAGUGUAUCAUCUGUGCAUGGUCAUCUGGCAGGUUUUAAUCUGUUUCCCAAAGUCUGCAGAAAGUGUGGGACAGUUGGUCUGCUGAGAGGACAGCUGCGUGCAUCAUUCUCUUCCCCCUUCUGUGUGCUGCAUGGCCAGGUCACUGGCUUUUGUGCUUCUCCCACAUCUCUGCAUGGAGAGGCUUGGAUCUGCAGCAAGAGGUGACAGAGGGCUUUCUGUCUUCUUGCCCCAGAGCUGGAUGCAGCCUUGAUGCACAGACUGUGCAGGCUGUACAGAUCUGCAGGUAUUUCACACUGUGUGACCUGGAAGGUGGGUGGCACACUGGGCAGGUGACUGUGGCUCCCUGUACUCCCUUGGUAAACCUGCUCCUGCCUGCCCUGGGAUAACAGAAAGAGGACUUAAUACUUCCCAGGCCAGGAGUGACCAUGAUGUCCUGACUACUCCAACCCAAAUGGACUUUUGGUCAGUAAAUCAGAAAGUAAUAGGAGGGUUCUCUGCUCACAUUAUGCAGCCCUGUUCCUAUGCUUGCUAAUUAGAAAUGGGCUCACAGAAAAUGCUAAGAUUCAAGCCUCCAUGAGCACCAGGGGAACUCAGAUCCAGAUUAGACAGCGCUUGGAUGCUUUGGUGAUUGGCACUUUAGAAAUUACAUAGAUAGACAGAGCACAGUGGAAAUAGAUGGGACUUUGCAGUUUUGGCUCUUCUCUGCAAGUUAUAAUUAUUUAAGAUGAUGUUUCACAUCACAUUCAAGCUUCUGUGCAGAUAGCAGCAGCAGAGAACAAGAGAUCUCAGCCACCUAGGAGAGGAUUAUGUGGAUAUGACAAUGUUCAAACCCACUGGGCUCUGCCACGCUGCAUUAUUUAAGCCCAAUAACCAAAUUUAGUAACCAGCCCCUGAGGCACUGAGAGAUAAACACAGUUUCCAGAGCUCUUUCCCUGCAGUCUUGUCGGCUUCUUCCCUUAAAGGAGCCACCGGCUCUUCUCUUCCUCCCUCGGCCCCACCAGCCAGGCCUGAUCUCCUGCAUUGCUCCCACGCCAGCGAUGAAGUCCUUUGCACAGGUGUAAUGCAUGACCCAGGUACCAGCCACCACACACAGUGUGAAUCUGUGGAAGUCUGGUGCAGAGUCACCCGCAUGGGGAAAACAAGAGAGACCCCGGUUCCAGGCCACCAGGAUCCCGGGCACAGAGGCUGCAUCUGUGCAGUGAGGCAUGAGCUCAGGUACAGACAGGCCAAGCCUCGAGCCAAAGCACAGCCUGUCUGGACUGCGGCCACUUCCCAGCUGUAGCUCUGCACUAGAUAUCCAUGUGUGCUCAGGCUGCUAAUGCUCUCUGCUCUUCCCCGACCUGGCUCUCGCCUUCCUGGGAGCUUUGCAGCUCCAGCUGAACCUAUGCAUGAAUGUGCCUGCUGCUAAAGUGUGUGGACAGAAGCAAUUCUGGACAUGUGGACAGGUUCAAACUUGUGCUUGGGUGAAGAUCUCUCCUUGCCUCCUUUGCCCACCAAGCACUGCAGGUGGUGGGUAGAGGUGGGCCCAGCUCUACCUCUCACCAGCUCUAGCCUUCCCUCAACGGCAGAGCUUUGUCACUGCUUCACAAUGUCACAAUGCCGAACAAUGCCACUUGUUAACCAAUUUUCAAAAGGAUUGAGGCAAAGAGAGCCUGGGAGGAUUGGGUAGACCCUCUUCACCAGCACCUCAGACUGCUGGUCACCCGGCUUGUGUUCGGUGAGCAGGUGCUAUGCCACAGCAGGCCCUUGUCUCCCCGCUAAGACGGGAGUGCCCAAGUCCAUGUACGUGAACAAAUUCUGUGAAGUGACCUAUGGCAAGGAGAGGUUUAACAGAGUGAAUAUUUAACCAGCAUUGUGUCAAAUGUCCACCAUGGUGUUUGUCAUCACAGGGCCCUGAUCUUGUACAUAUUUGAGGCAAUGCAGCUUAACUCCCCACAGAUUCUGGCAGAGCUGGCUUAAGAGACCCAGAAUUUACCUUGGCUUGCAAAGAGGUCAUUUCAGUAAAACCCAAGCUCAGCCUCAGGGAGCCACGCAAUAGUGCUGAGACCUGCUGGUACUGUAGGUGACUCCCGCCACCAUGGCUAUUAACUGCAAGGCGUGUCCUCUCCAUGGCGGCGAUCGGACGCCACAGCCUCUUAAAACUGUCUGCCCUCUCUUAGAUCCUUCCCUGGCCUUUGGCCCAGAGCCCUGGAGGCAGUGAGUUGGAGACUGGUGUUUACAAACACAGCCUUUUAAACCGUGUGCGGAAUGAGAAAAAGGAGCGAGCCCAGCUGAAGGGCCCUGGGAGGAGAAGAUCGUAUCGGAUCUUGCAGGGAACCUCUUCCUGAGCCACUUCUCUUGACCUAGAUGAGCUGCAGCUGAGCUGCCAGGACAAGGAAGGAUGGUGGGCCAGCAGCAAGGGGCCUCUCCAGGCAGCCGGGGCUCCUGCCAGAUCUGCCUCACAUGAGCUGGACCUCUCUGGUUGCUACCAUGCCAGGGAGCAUAUGGCAAGGCUGAUCAUAAAGGCCAGCUCUGCAGGAAAGAAAGACUUUGGGGUUCCAUGGAUGGUAUCAGCUAGUCCACAGGCCAUGAAAUCUCUGCCAUCCUGUGCCAUUCCCAGAUGCUGAACUGUGGGCAUUCAGGAUUGAACAGGCUUUUUAACUUCUUUGUAGUUGUUGUUGUUGUUUUUGCAAUACUCAGCCUGACCAAACUCAAAAAUGAGUUAUUUAUCACAUACCUCAAAUGCCGUGACACAUAUGGCCUAUUGCACCAGUGUCCCUAAGCUACCCCUACCGCACAGCCAUUUUAUUUGUAAACCACAGGCUCCUUCCCGGUAGUCCUAUUGUUCCAGUGACCACCAGAGCCGAUACCAGCAUUGGCCUCUGGUGGAACGUCCCAGCAAGCAGGCAACACUCAGUAUAAACUGACUUCUUCCUCCCUGAGCCCUUGUGCCCAGUCAGCUCUUCCCUCCACUGCACAGACCCCCACCAUAGUGCUACAAAUCUGUGCCAGUGAGGAUGGCAACAGACAUGUCAUGUGGGCAUUGGUUCUUGGAGAGUGUCCUCAUCCAAAGCAUAUCCCCCAGGAGAACAAAAUGCCCGACAGCUGCUGGCUGGCUCCUGCUGCACAGCACUGGGUGUGACACCCAAGAGCGGGGUGAUUUUCUGUGGACCCAGUUUACUUGAGUCCUUUCUGAGGUCUUGUCUCGAGGGAAAAAUUCUCCAGUGUUACUGUUGUGGGAGAAGUUAUUCUGCAAUAACUUUUAAAACAGCUGCCCAUGGGGACACAGUAUGCUGGAAAAAACAGUCAUUUCAUUCUGGUGUGAUCACUCCAAUUCACGAGCCUCGCUCUUUCCCCUCCCUCCCAUCCACUGGAAUUAGAUUUCUCGAUUCAGCUUCAAGCUCUUUGCAGGAAAGGAUUUCAGGGCUGCGGUUUGGCCCGCGAUAGGACAGCCGCCCAGCUCCAUGGGCUGGUGUGCUCUCCUCACUGCUUCAAAACAAAUAGCAAAGCAUGCAAAUGUGCAAAGCUAGCGCGUAGUCUGCUGUUGGGAAGGGAGGUGACUCUUCAUCCUCCUCUAGGGACCUGCAUGGAAACUGAGCUGUGAAAAUAAAAAUAACGGUCCUAGUGAGAGCACUGCAAAGACUUUCAGCAGCUGUGACUAAUGUUAAACCACUUGGCAAAGGACUUCUCGCUCGCUCUGCCUCUCCCGCUCUCCGGGAACCUCAGAAAGGGCAUAACUGGAAUCCCUGUCUGGGGAAAGGGAGGAUGAAGAACAUGUAGACACCCAGCCUGGGAUUUCCUAAAGCUGUUGCUUGCACUAGGCAGACAAGAGCCACGUGCAGCAGUUCCAAAAGCAACGCACAGGAAGGGAAAGGUGUGAGAUUGUUUGUGUGAAAUAUAUACACCAGGACUGGCUGAGGGCAGCCCAGACCUCUGUUUCCUUGGAUGUAGAAGCAAGGCCCGGGGUUUUGCCAGCAGCCCGUCACCACCCAGCCUGCCCCCUGAUGCUAACAGGGAUGCGUCUGCAGAAGCAAACAUCCCAGCAGAGGAGAUUUUCAGGAUGGGUUGCUUGGCAGGAAGGGAAGGGGUGAGUGGGUGUGGAAAAGGAUAAAUCUGUAAUGUUCCUCACUUGUGGUGCAGAAGCAGGCCUCAGAUUUUCUCCUAGGGCUCCAGCUUAAGCUUGGCAGAGCUCUUAUCAGUGCUCAGCCAUGCACCCAGGCAGGGAAAUAGCCACCGCUGCCUGGUGCACUGGGCCUUUCCUGGGACUGCAGGCUCCAUUCUUCUUCUGCCCCAGACUGACAUGGUUACAGCCCUCCUCAGGGCUGACCUGGCUGCAGCUGAAGCCACAGGAGACAUGGAUGCAGCAGAACCAGACAGACAUAAGCUGAGCUUUGGCACAGCCAGGAUAAGGCUCUUGCCUGUGGGGGAAAAUGCUUGGGGGUUAGAAAUCUGCUGACUGCCUGUACACAGAAGCAAGCUCAGGAGAAAAACUCUUUGUAGCAUAGUGGAGCUCUGUCCUGUCCUGCACCACAAAGCACGUGCCACUGGUGUAAUACCCAUCCCACCAGAUGAGUACACAGCUGUGGCCCAUCGUUAGGUGCCAAGCAGCAGCUUUUCUUCCCAGCCAAACCAUCCUCUCUACAUCAUCAGCCUCACUGAGCUGGGGAAUAGCACUUUUAAAGCACUGUGUCCCACAGACUGUGGCCCAAAUACUGUUUGCACCAAAGUCAAAAAGCAGGAAGAAGAUCAGUCUUUUAGCUUUUUUUCCGGGCAAUCAAUAACUAACCUCUGGGAGGGACUCAGCUGUUUAUGAGACACGGAGAGAAAAUUUCUAAAAGACAGCAAUAAAGAGGACGUGGGUGCAGGGGGAGGAGGAAGGUGGGGAGGGGGAGAGGAGGGAUUUGUAUGUCACAGCUUACCUCAGAGCCAGAAUUAGAAGCUGGGUAAAAAAAAUAAAAUCACAGCAGGAAAUAAUGUGUAGCUUAAAAUAGCAACGUCAAAUGGGAGCGAGAAUGGGGAGUGGGUGGCAUUUGAGGUUGCUGCUCUGUUCCUCUCUCAAUGGCAGGGUGAUUAAUAUGUCUACGCUACUUGUGUUUAUGUAACAAAGGGCACUAAAGGCCAAAGCUGCAUUUUCACUACCACUGCAGGGGAGUCUGUGAAUCUUUUCUUCCCCCCAUAGCAUUAAGUGGGAGGAUCUGCACUUGCACUUCCUGCCCCAGAAACAAACAAACAAAAAAAUCCAUGCUUCAGUACAGCACACAGAGUUACCUUUCCACAGCUUGGCAGGGCAGCACAGAGACCUUUAAGGCUUUUGAAGGCAUUAUUCUGUAUUUCAUGGCUCCCCACAGAAAAAUCCUGUUCCCAGAGCACACCUGUAAAUGUGGUCAGAUUGUGUCUGGCAAGAAGCUGUGCUGUAAUAGCAAACAAGGUACCUCUUCAUGUUACUACACAUUUUUGUGCUCGUUCUUUAUAUUUGCAGUGAAUCAUAGAUCUCUGAGACAGGUCAUGCAGUCCAUUUCCUUGCCAGCGCAGGAUUGUUCCCAGCCAUAUACUUAAUCCUUCACGUUUCUCUCGGGAAACAAUGAUUCAGACUGAUCAGUCUUUUCUCUACACACCUUGUAUCCUGAGAAGUGCAUUAAAGACUGGCAAGCACUCAUGUGUUUUGGUAAGGAAGGGAUAUUUCUCUUGGGUACACCAAGAAAUACUCAGCGCACUGCAUCACUGUUCACUGAUGACGCUGAAGUUACCUAGCAAAGCAGCCGAGGGAGGUACGGCACUUGUUUUUUAGACUGACAUGAUCUCCUCUAGAUUAAUAAGCAGAACAAGCCUGCCCUGAACCUGCAGAGAAAGGUGUGAGAGCAUCCCAAGCAAGCCCCAAGGGGUGCAGGAGCCUUGUGUCUCAGCUGAUCAUGCUCAGUUGCUGCAGCUUAUCCUUCUCAGUGUUUGGUCCCCUUGGAGAGCAAAGACAAGAGCAAAGACGUUCUUUCACCUGCACACACAGCACAAGCCUGUGCCCCCUCCCAGUCACUCCUAUCAAAAUAUCUGUUUGCAAAUAUCCGUACAUGCAAAUAGCACAAGAUCAAGUUUGUUGUGCGAUAAAAACCUGCUGCACGGGCCUGAUUCUGAUACUCUCUGCCAUCAGCAAAUGUUUUUGAUAUAAGGUGGGCCGUGCUGGUGUCAGAGGAAGGAGAAUGUGGCCCAGACCUGAUGCAAAUCUUCCCACAGGCAGGCAGAGCAGCAUGAUUUGUUUAAACAUGGCAUGCUGGUGGCUGCAGACAGAGAUCACUCCCAGCAACUCCAUCAACGUGUAUAAUAUCCUGCUAGUUAAAUCUAGCCUUGGUAAAUAUCUCCAUCAUGUUAUCCUCCAAGCAAAUAUAGUACCUGCAUGGAAGAAAUUCCUCAGAAUGUUUCCUGUCUGGAGCUCAAGCUUGCCAGGGACUGAAUUUCCUGUGAGGCUACAGUUGGGAAUGCAAAGCAAAGAAGCUAACAAGAAAACGAGAUGAUACAUAUUUGAACCUGGUCUAUGCAGACCCUCCUCAAAAGCACAUUCCCCCACUCUUUUAAUAAAAAUUAAACACUUAGAUUUUCAAAUA